RNAcentral lists this long non-coding RNA (9837 nucleotides) under Lynx pardinus (Iberian lynx). The stretch from base 1799 to 1883 matches the Rfam family "tRNA". The record is from RNAcentral. Lineage: Eukaryota; Metazoa; Chordata; Mammalia; Carnivora; Felidae.
UAUAGGGCCGGGAGAGUGGGCAGCAGCUCUGGGGAUUCAAAUGACCACGGGCCGGGCUGAACUGAGCAGAGUCCCUGGUUCGGCACAGAAGGGGACCCGGCCUCUUCACAGAGAGGGGAGCCAGAGGCCUCCUGCGGAGGCCGGGGUAAGUAUGUGAUUGCCCGCAGCAGGCUCCUAUGGGCUCUGGGGGUAAGAGGGUCAGGAGAGAGUCGCUGUGUUUGCUGUCCCUCCCAAAGUCUCACAUGAGGUAGCGUGGUAUAGGGGAAAGAACAUGAGAUUGAAAGGCACUGAACUCCCUGGUGCGUAUCCUUGGGCAAGUGACUGUACCUCUCUGAGUGUCCUGUUUCUUUAUCUGUAAAAUAGAAACAACCCUAGGACCUGCUUUGCAGCCUAGAUCCUGUUCAGAGGGGACCGAGGAUGAAGUGAGAGAAUCUAAGAGGAAGCAGGCAGCACAGUGUGGUAUGCAGCCAGUGUAGGCUGCCUCCGGGGUGCAGGUACUGGUAACCAAGGGAGGCCUGGUGGAGGCAACGGGCAGGUCGGCUGGAGGGAGGGGCAGCGAUCGGGAACCAGCGAACCCAGACCCUGGUGCUUGAGGAGCACUCUGGACGGAGGGCUCUGCAGGGAUGGGAUCGGGAGUGGACUGGGGAGUCCAUGAGCCUGUCAGGGCCUGGUAGGAACCCAGCAAGUCUGGGGAGUGCAGACAGGGUGACAGAGAUCUGUACCAUCCUGGGGCACCUGGGGCCAGCUGUGCUUACUGGCGGAGGUCAGCCACCCCUUGGGAAAUUGUGCCCUUCUCCCAAUUUUGCAGCUCCUCCUCCCCUUCCCCAGACUCUAGGGAUUGACCCAAACCUUUCUUGACCAAUAGCUCUCAGCCUUGGCCCAGGUUAUGGCCUCCCCCCCCCAGUUUUCAUUUAUUUUGGAGAUGGGGGAGAGGCAGAGAGCGAGAAUCCCAAGCAGGCUCCACACUGUCAGCAUAGAGCCUGUCAUGGGGUUUGAACUCAUGAACCAUGAGAUCGUGACCUGAGCCUUAAUCAAGAAUCAGAUGCUUAACUGACUGAAACGCCCAGGCGCCCCAGGCUGCAGCCUUGCCUGUGCCACCCCAGGUUGGCAGAGCCUGAAGGCCACGUUCGCAGCCUCAAGUGUGGGUUCUCAGAUGUAAAACCCAGGCUCUUCUUCGACAAAGAUGAAACUCCCAUUCACCCCUUCCUACCCAUCUAUACCCAGCCAUAGGCCUUCUUUUCUUUCUGGGUAUUUUCUAUUUUCCAAAUAUAAAAUUAAACAUGCUUUUUCAGACAAAGCACGCCCCCCUCGCAGCCCUAGAGAUUUCAGACCUGCUUCCUCCUUUGAAAAUGGAUGAUUUGAUUCAGUGCUUUGGAGAACAGAGGGAGAUUGAGGCCCAGUGGGCGGACAGAAUCUAACUUCUUGUUACAAUAGAAAUGACCUAUCACUGUUUACUUUCCAAAGCAUGAUUUCCUCAGCACCUGGCUGGCUCAGUCCAUGGAGGGAGCAUGCGACUGUUGAUCCUGGGUUUGUCUGCUCAGCUCCACGUUGGGUAUAGACAUUACUUUUUAAAAAGGGGGUGGGGAGCGCCUGGGUGACUCAGUCCUUUGAGCAUCUGACUUCGGCUCAGGCCAGGAUCUCAUGGUUUGUGUGUGUGACCCUGCCUCGUGCUCUGUGCUGACAGUGAGGAGCCUGGAGCCUGCUUCACGUCCUGGGUCUCCUGCUCUCCCUGCCUCUCCCCCACUCAUGCUCUGUCUCUCUCUUAAAAAUAAACAUUAAAAAAAUUUUUUUUAGGGGCGCCUGCGUGGCUCAGUGGGUUAAGCAUCUGACUUCAGCUCAGGUCAUGAUCUCCAAGUCCGUGGGUUCGAGCCCCGCGUCGGGCUCUGUGCUGACAGCUCGGAGCCUGGAACCUGCUUCGGAUUCUGUCUUCCUCUCUGCCCCUCCCCUGCUCACACUCUGUCUCUCUCUCUCUCAAAAAUAAACACACACACAAAUUUUUUUUUUUAAUGUUUUAAAGAAAAAGGGCAUCUAUCUAUCUCUCUAUUAUCUAUAAAAAACAUGGUUUCCUCUAUGGGCUGAUCCCUAUCCCAUUUGGGAAAGGCAUAUGAUUUUGUGAGAAGUGGGCGGCAGAUGGGUUUCCACCAUUUCACAGAUGAACAAACUGAGGCCAGAAUGCCUCAGGCACGAUUAGCAAGACAAUCAGAAAAUGUUCUCCUGCCUGUGGAGUCAGCGAAGCCUCAGUACAAUUACCGGGGGCUCCAAGGUGCGGGCGGACAGGGCAGGGAAUGCCCCCUCAGUCUGGUGGGGCGAUGGGCGGAGGCCAGAGCUUAAGAGUUUUAGACCUUUAAGUCGUGGCCAGUGAACACCAGCGAGACCGCGGCGGGCUCCGCAGCUGGGAGUGGGCUCCGAUUCCGCUCUGCCACCUUGCAGCUUCGCGACCUUGACUUGCUUCGUCUACAGCUUCCCGUUACGCAAAAGGAGCCAAGAAUCCCCGCUGGCCGGGUCGUCAGGAACAGUCAAUGCGACUCAAGCCAGCGCCCGCCGCCGGCAAGCGCUCCACAGACCGAGCGCGCGGCACCCUUUGUGCCGCCGCCGCGCCCGGGCCCAGGGUCGCGCCUUCCUCCGCGGCCCCGGCGGGAACGCGGGCGGGGCGGGCGCUGACGCCGUUCCCGCCCCCGGAACCGCCCCCGGGCCUGCCCCGGCCCCGCCCCGCCCGGCCCGUUCGGCGGCGGCGGCGGUGGCGGUGGCGGCGCGCGAAGGUAGGAGGCCGCGGGCGCGCGCUGCGGCGGGCGGAGGCCGCGAGGCUGAGGUGGCGGCGCGCGCGGGCGGGAAGGCGGGCGCGCGCCAGGGGGCGGGCCGGAGCCGGCGUCCCCGGGCCCUGGGGAAACCCCGCGCCCUCGCCGCGUUCCCGCACCCCCUGGCAGUGCACGCGCCCUGUCUGUCCCCGGCUCCAAGCCCUGCCGGGACCCUGGGGGCCAGGGGCCGGGCGCGGCGGCGGCGGCGGCGGCGGCCUGCGGGGCUCGGCGUUCUGAGGCCCCGAGGGGCGCCCCCGUCCCGGGUCCCGUCGUUCCGCCGGCCGGGCCGCCGCGGGAGGCCCUUCCCGACCGUCGCCACUAACAGCAGCUCCCGGGCUGCGGCUUCCUGUGGGCCCAGCAGCGUCCCUGCCCUCCUCGCGCGGGAGGGCGUUUCACCCUUGCUGCGAUCGGCAAAACGCAAAGUAGCCCCAUUUUACCGAUAAGGAAACCGAGGCCCGGAGCGGUCAAUAGGGUUGCCCACGAUGGCACAGCCUGUGCAGGGAUUUGGGCCCUCCUUGGGUUUCUCAACAUGGGGCCUGGGGUUGGCGUAUUCCCAACGGGUUCGCUCCGGAUUUUAAUGCAAACCCGAGAGGCCGGCUCCCCCUGGGGCUGGGACGUGUCUGGGAGCUUGGGACACCGUGGGGGAGGGCCCAUGAGGGUACCUUUCUGUUUUCAUCCGAGAUUUGCUGUUUUCCUUAGCUGAGCUCACAGCAGGUGCUUAAUAAACAAACAAGUCCUGUGUUAGCAGCAGACCCGAGGCUGUAUAGCCAGGCCGGUGGGCUCCUUAGUCAGAAGCAGGGUUCAGGAAAGACCUCAGGAGUCGGAACCCCUGGAUCUUGAGGGUUUGCCUGACUUCGCUCAGGGAGAGGACUCCCCCAGGCUUUCUCUCAAGCCCUUGGACACUAGGCACCCUUCCCACUCAGUCCCAUGUUGGGGACACUGUCGGGUUUUUACCCUGAGCUCCAGGGACACAGCAGGUGCUGGGUAUGUGUUCCCUGGGGUCCGCCUGGAAUUCCAGUCUGAGGGUGACAUCAUAUGGCCAGGACUUGCCCUAUGUGACCCCCCACCAAAGUUCAGGGGAACUGUUUCUUUUUCAAAUUUUUUCAUUUAGUUUCCUGUAUUAUUGUUUCUUUGCGUGCAUGCAUGCAUGCAUGCAUGCAUUCAUUCAUUCAACAGCUGUUCAUGGAGCUCAGGGCCUCAGGCACUGCGGAGGUAGCAGUGAACAAGGCCGGCUUGAUCCCUGUCCUUGGAGGAGAUAGACCACAUACAUGUUAGAGAAAAUGGUGAAUGACUACCGGCAGGGACCACUUUAGCUUCGUGUCAGGAUUAGCCCUUUCAGAAGGUGAUAUUUUUGAGGCAAGAUCUGGCUGACAAGCAGUAGUCAGUCAUGUAAAAGAGGGAUUGCAGGCAGGGAAAAUGGCAGGUGCAACGGUCCUGAGGUGGGAGCAUGCCUGAUACGUAUGGCUGAGACUCAAGAAAGCCAGCGUGGCUGGAGUGGAAUGAGCAGGGGCAAGAGAGAAGGGGAUGAUGAGGGGGGAGAAGUGGACCAGGGCCCUGCGGCAGGACCUUGAAUUUUGUUAUUUAAUUUUGAGUGUGAUAGGAAGCCGUGUGUGUGUUGGGGGAGGGGUGGGAUUGAACAGAAGAGGGAUGUGGUCUCUACUGUGUGAGAAUUGGCUGGAAUUGGGGCGCUGGGUGGCUCGAUCUGCUGAGCAUCCGACCCUUGAUUUCGGCUCAGGUCAUGAUCUCUCGGUUUGUGAGUUCCAGCCCUGCAUUGGGCUCUAUGCUGAUGGUUGGGAGCCUGCUUGAGAUUCUCUUUCUCUUCCUCUCUCUCUCUCCCCUGCUCUCUUGUGCUCGCUUGCUCUCUCUCAAAAAUAAAUAAAUAAACUUAAAGAAAAAGAAUAGACUGGAAUGGAGGGACGAGAGGAGAGGCAGGGAGACCCAGUGCAGGCAAAAAGGUGGUAGUGGCUUAUGUGACACACGUCAGAGACCUAGGCUGGUGGCUGGCAAUAGUACGUGCUACAUAAUGGUAGCCAUUGCUGUUAUCGUUCAAAACUUUGGAACCAGGCCUGCCUGGGUCUCACGUGUGGCUUCAGCUGUUCCUACUGGGUAACUUUGAGCAAGUUAUUUAACUUCGCUGAGCCUUAGUCUUGUCGUGGCAUGCUGCCGUGUACCAGGCAACAAGGUUCUAGACUGGGUCCUGGGACGAGCCAAUAAUAUCAGUGGUGGUAAUGAUAACGCUAAUAAGACCCAACACUAUCCACUAUUUAACAGCGUGUGUCAUCAUUAGGGUGAUACUAGCUGACGUGACAGCAAAACUCUGAAAUCUCAGAGGCUUAACAGGAGUUUAUUUCUCAUUCAUGAAAAGUCCUGUUGGGUGUUUGGCUUUCCCCGUGGUGUUUGGCUUUCUCCGUGGUGACCCACAGACCCAGACCCUUCCAGCACGUGGCUCUGGCAUCCCCUAGGGCCUCAGCACGAUUGCCUUCCCUUUGGCGGACAAGGAAGGAGACAAGCAUUUCCUCAUGAGAGAUACUUCAUGGGCCAGGUCUGCGUUCUUUUUAUCUUAAUUCUCCUGGCCGGAAUGUGAUCACAUGGCCAUAGCUGACUGCAAGGGAGUCCCAUUUCCGGAGAAGAAUCGGAAAUGCGUUUUGCUCAACACACGGAAGCGUCUGCCACACCGUAUCCAAGCGCACAGCUAAGCGUGGAUCACCUCGUUGAAGCCUCAUGAUAGAAGCAGGUGCCAUUAUCACCCCAUUUUACAGACAAGGAAACUGAGGCUCCGAGAGGCAAAGUCACUGCUCAGCUCGCACAGCUGGCGGGGAGGCAUAGCCCAGAUUGGAGUUGGAUGCCGAAGCUAUAACAUCCAGACUUUUCUAUGAGGAAUUCAUUGUUUUGAGAAUUGGAAGGUGUGGACAUUGGAGAACGACACGUACACACAGGAUUUAGAUGUGAUUUCUUGGGAUCUAGAGAACCCAGUCACACUCUAGGGGGAGAACUCUGGGCAGAGGCGACCUCCAGUGCCCAGGGUUCUGGCAUCCUGCUCCCUUCUCCUCAUCCCUUAGGGCACUGGCUAGGGGGAAGGCACAGAAUAAUUCCGUUCAGUUCAUCAAGCACAUCUGGGGCCCCCUCUCUGCCAAGCCGGGCAAGCAGGGGCAGAGAUCCUGGCCUAGGGGUGUCUGUGGCCUGCCCCCUGCUCUGGUUCUGGGUGUGCAGCCUCUGGAGGGGAUUUCUGGAGGGUGUCUGGAGGUGGGAAAACGGGAGUCCCAGAGUUUGGUAGCGACAGCUCUCUGCCCCUGGCCAAGUUCACUUUUGCCUAAAUUUGGCCUUGGUGGCCACAGCAACUCGGUGGCACUUAUCUUUUGGCCUGGCGUGCCCUGUUUCCUGGUUUUCCAUUUGCAGAACAGAUCUCCUAGUUGAGGGCGAGGGGUCCAGCCUGACUGAUGUGCAUUUCUGCAGUACCUGCUGCAUUCCUGGGUCUGACCUAGACGCAGGGGCAGAGUCUUCAAGGGAAAAUGCCUGGCCUUUGGGCACUUAUUGGGAGGCUGCCUGGGCCAAGUGGCAUGAGCUUUGGGCUUCCCACUUCCCUGUGGCGGGUCACUUUGAACAGGUAAGAGCCCUAAGUUCUCUAAGCCUUGGUUUUCUCAUCGGGAAAUGGGUUGAGUUGAGGAUUUAAUGAGAUAAUGCGAAUAUGACUCCUGUGGGACGUGGCGUGUAGAGCGGAGGGCACCCUGAGGCCGAGGGGCCCAUAGGUAGCAGGAGUGAUGCUCAUGCAAACAGGACCCACCACUGCCAUCUCCUUGCUGGCUACGUGCCCGAUGUGGUUCUAACCUCCUUCUACUUUUCAACCCACCCGAUCCUCAGUGACUCUGCGUGGUAGGUCUUUCAGUCCCGUUUUAGAGAUGAGGAAACUGAGGUCCAGAGAGGUACCUUGUCCAAGGUCAUACUGCCAACGAGGGGCAGAGCUGGGACUCCCAUGUGACCCCAGAUCUGCCGCUCAGUCCGGAGUUUCGGGCCCAAUUGCAGCAGGCAGCUUCCUCGCCACAGGGCAGGAACCGUGGGAGGUGGUGGGUGGACCUCUGGCCGUGGGGCACAGGGACUGUACAUUUGGGAUUUUCAAAGGAAUGAAAUCGAUAUUUAUCAAAUACUUAGUAUGAGCCGGAGUCACACACUCUUUGUGCACACCCCAGUUUUUUGUUUAAAUUCCCAGACAACUCCAUGAGAUCGAUGCCGAUAUUAUCUGCAUCUUACAAGAGGACAGUGAGGCUCAGAGAGGCAAAGUUCCUUUCCCAGAGGCACACAGCCUGUGGGGGGGGGGGCGAGGGGAGGAGAGGGGAAUGGGGGCAAAGGGGUGUGGGUGAUUCCACAGCCUGCGAUCUUUGCCCCGAACCCGAUGUGGGAAAACGUCAUCCCAGCACCCUUUGAAUACAUUCUUAGCAAGUCACGUGACCCCCAUCUGGGUCAGCAAAGGAGGUCUCAAAAGACUAGCCUUUCCCGCCUCCUGAUGCUGACCCCGCCCCCUAGGCUUGGAGGGCUCUAGGACCCAGCAGCUGGGGAGGGUGGACUGUGUGUGUGUGUGUGUGUGUGUGUGUGUGUGUGUGUGUGUGUGUGUGUGUUGGGGGGGUCCCCUCAUCUUCAGGUCCCUCCUCCUCCCUCUCUCCAGCCUUUCCCUUUCUCCCCCACCUCUUCCCCCUUUCCUCCCCUCCCCCUCUUCAUCCCUCCCCUUUCUUCUCUUCCCUCCCCUCUUCUCCUUCCCCAGCCCCUCCCCCUCCCUCACCCCUCCCACCUCGGUGGUCACAUGGGGGGCACCGCCGGAUUUAAGCCUAAUCUGCCCUGUGCUCAGCACAGCGGUCUGGCUGUGGGGUGGGAGAGCUGAGCUAGUCUCUGGGGCCCUGGAGAAGGGCCUGGAGGGGGGUGCCCACAGCUCCCCCCUCCAUGAGCUUGGGGCUGGAGGAAUCGGUGGAGGCCCAGCUGGCACUGGAGACGGUUAUCCAGGUGGGUCCUGAGGACUGUGCCCACCCUGUCCGGGGCAGGGGAGCAUGGGUCUAGCAGGAAUGGAUGAGUGGUAGGUACAUCUUGGGGUCAUGGGGUGGGAGGGGUGGGUGGGAGGGUGCACGGGGGCCCCAGCUUGCAACUCCCAGCCGGACUGGGGGUACAGAGGUGCUCAGAGCAAAACUGCUUUGGCCCCCUUAUCCCAGGGCCCUGUGGGAAAAGGGGAUCCCUGCUCCCAGAUUUAAGGGUUGAGGUGACAUCUGCUAGCACAGUGGAAUCCUCUGGGAUUGGAGGGUUGGAGCUGGACUGGAACCCCCAGCCCUGUGCUGCCCCGAUGGGUUUUGUGAGCGAGCCAUGCGGUUUGGUUCGCUUCUCUGGCCCUCCAUGGGGCCUCCUUCCCGGGGCAGGAGGCACUGAAGCGUGCCCUCCCGUGGGGCGUUUUUCCAUUGUAGCUCCCAGGCUUCCCUCCGCAUGGGGGCUUCCUGAGGGUCUCACGGGCCCCCACAUCUUGGGCAGCAGGACUUUGUUCCUCUCCCAUCCAGGCCAGGGAGACCAGGGCCCCCAGUCCCCUUCACACUCUCUCUCUCCCCCCCUACAGACCCUGGAGAGCAGCGUCCUGAGGGCAGGCCGGGAGAAGGGCCUGAGCGAGCAGGACCCUGCCCAGGACUCUCAGCUCGCCUGCCUACCUGCCCGCAUCAGGGAGAUCAUCACCUGCAACCUCUCCCAGCCUGAGAACCAAGGUGCCGCUCUUCAUUCGCCCCCACAGACACUGCCUGCACCUCACCCCUUCUCACAUCCCCCUCUUCCACGGCCGUAAUGACAGGAGUGACCGCAGCUUCCAUUUCUCAAAUACUCACUGUGAGGCGGGCACAACCCUGUGAUGGAGGGACCCAUUUUACAGAUGGGGAAAUGGAGGCUCAGAGGUAUAGUUUGCCCAGAGUCGUUCUCCAUGUGACGCUGCGAGACAGUGGGGAUGAGCACCCCCACCCGCAGCUCACAGCAGAGACUUAGACCCAAAUACCACGUUCUCUCCCAGGGAAGGUGUGAGCUUGGCCGAACCCCAGAUUACAGGGGGAGGGCAGCUCAGUUUAGCUCAGGGCUCUGCAGAAGUCCCAGGGAUGGUCCUGUCCAUUCCCCAGCAGGGCAGAGAGGCUGAUGGGCCCCUGUUCCUCCUGCUGGGUGCCGUCCACAACCUCCUGUGUGGUUUGAGAGUCUGGGAAGGGCACACUCAGUUACAGCUGGCGUGUGGGCAGCUCUCCUUGGUGGUGAUUCUGGGGCUCCGCCACAGUCCUUGUCCAACCUCUUUGGGACGACCAGGGGUGUUGGGGCCCCUGGGAGCCCCAGGCAAGGAGAGACUUAGAGAACCCUCACCUCAGGCUGAAAGAGCCUGGAGACCUGUGGCGUGUGUCCAGUUCUCCUGGGAUGGAAGGGGAGCCCACAGGGCGGGGGACACUUCGACUUCUCCCUUUGUCCCCCUCUUCCUCUUCCUCCUCCUCCUCCCAACAUGACCUAUACUAUCUGAAGCCCUGGCUUCAGAGGUUACAUGAAGCCCUUCCCUUAAGUGAGGUCUUCCUGGUCUCCCGUUUACCAAUUCCACCCAGGUUACAGAUCAGCAAAACUGAGGCCCAGAGAAGAGUUCUGGGCCCGCUGGGGCCACCCUUCGGCGGUGUCUGGGUCCGCUCUGAGUCUAGCCCUAGGCCUGUCUCUUUGCCCACCUUCCUGUUCUUAUCUCUGUUUGCGUGCUCUGGUGCUGACGUCCUCUCUCAGGGGCCCAGUCCCUCUUCCUGCCUCCAGUGAUGUUUGUAGAGCACCUAUCGUGGGAGGGUGUCCUCCUGGACCCGGGGGGGCGGGGGGGGGGGGGGGAAGGAAGCCAACCAUGUGCCUGCUGUCCCUCUCCAGCCCCGCUGCCGGCCGCGGAGAUGGCAUCAGUGCUGUCGCUGCAGGAGGAAAACCAGCUGCUGCAGCAGGAACUGUCCCGCGUGGAGGACCUGCUGGCCCAGAGCCGGGCGGAGCGUGACGAGCUGGCCAUCAAGUACAACGCGGUCAGCGAGAGGGU